GUUUUAAUAGUUUAAUAAAAACUUAGAUCUUGUAAAUCUAGAUUAACGUAAGUUUUAAAAAU
This 62-nucleotide transfer RNA is filed under the name Kikihia muta. Its description in RNAcentral is "tRNA-Thr". The record is from RNAcentral. Lineage: Eukaryota; Metazoa; Arthropoda; Insecta; Hemiptera; Cicadidae.